CAACGUGGGGAACCUGCCCCAUAGUCUGGGAUACCACUUGGAAACAGGUGCUAAUACCGGAUAAGAAAGCGGAUCGCAUGAUCAGCUUUUAAAAGGCGGCGUAAGCUGUCGCUAUGGGAUGGCCCCGCGGUGCAUUAGCUAGUUGGUAAGGUAAAGGCUUACCAAGGCGAUGAUGCAUAGCCGAGUUGAGAGACUGAUCGGCCACAUUGGGACUGAGACACGGCCCAAACUCCUACGGGAGGCAGCAGAG
This 250-nucleotide ribosomal RNA is filed under the name uncultured Lactobacillus sp. Its description in RNAcentral is "partial 16S ribosomal RNA". It matches the Rfam family "Bacterial small subunit ribosomal RNA", at positions 113 to 354 of the family's 1533-position model. The record is from RNAcentral. Lineage: Bacteria; Bacillati; Bacillota; Bacilli; Lactobacillales; Lactobacillaceae.